This 309-nucleotide ribosomal RNA is filed under the name uncultured bacterium. RNAcentral's name for it is "bacterial SSU rRNA". It matches the Rfam family "Bacterial small subunit ribosomal RNA", at positions 28 to 333 of the family's 1533-position model. The record is from RNAcentral.
GACGAACGCUGGCGGCGUGCUUAACACAUGCAAGUCGAGCGGUAAGGCCCUUUCGGGGUACGACGAGCGGCGAACGGGUGGAGUAACACGUGGGUGGACCUCGCCCUCCAGCUCUGGGAGUAAGCCUGGGAAACCGGGUACUAAUACUGGAUAUGACUCCAUGACGCAUGUUGUGGGGUGGAAAGCCUUGUGCGGCUGAGGAUGGGCCCGCGGCCUAUCAGCUUGUUGGUGGGGUGAGGCCUACCAAGGCGACGACGGGUAGCCGGCCUGAGAGGGCGACCGGCCACACUGGGACUGAGACACGGCCCA